Molecule: ribosomal RNA, 48 nt
Filed under: Petrocodon dealbatus
Lineage: Eukaryota; Viridiplantae; Streptophyta; Magnoliopsida; Lamiales; Gesneriaceae
Description: partial 28S ribosomal RNA
Source: RNAcentral
CGAACCCCAGGUCAGGCGGGAAUCACCCGCUGAGUUUUAAGCAUAUCA